This 875-nucleotide ribosomal RNA is filed under the name Ionopezia gerardii. RNAcentral's name for it is "eukaryotic LSU rRNA". It matches the Rfam family "Eukaryotic large subunit ribosomal RNA", at positions 69 to 947 of the family's 3401-position model. Lineage: Eukaryota; Fungi; Ascomycota; Pezizomycetes; Pezizales; Pezizaceae. The record is from RNAcentral.
CAGGGAUUGCCUCAGUAACGGCGAGUGAAGCGGCAAAAGCUCAGAUUUUAAAUCCAGUGUCUUUGGGACAUUUGAGUUGUAAUCUGCAGAGAGGUGUUCCGAGCAGUAUCUUGGCUCAAGUUCCUUGGAACAGGAUGUCAUGGAGGGUGAGAAUCCCGUGAAUGGCCUUGAUCUUACUUGCUCAUUGUGAACCUUCUUCAGCGAGUCGAGUUGUUUGGGAAUGCAGCUCUAAAUGGGUGGUAAAUUUCAUCUAAAGCUAAAUACUGGCAGGAGACCGAUAGCGCACAAGUAGAGUGAUCGAAAGAUGAAAAGAACUUUGGAAAGAGAGUUAAAUAGUACGUGAAAUUGUUGAAAGGGAAGCACUUGCUCCCAGACUUGCCUGUGGCUGAUCAGCCUUCAUUCUUUGGAGGUGCACUCGGCUAUUUUGGGCAGGCCAGCAUCAGUUUAGACAGAGGGAAAAAGACUGGGGGAAUGUGACUUUCCUUGGAAAGUGUUAUAGCCUCUGGUGCAAUAUCUCUAGUCCUGGACUGAGGACCGCGCUGCAAAGUGAGGAUGCUGGCAUAAUGGUCGUAAGUGACCCGUCUUGAAACACGGACCAAGGAGUCUAACAGCUGUGCGAGUGUUUGGGUGCUUAAACCCUUGCGCGGAAUGAAAGUGAAUGGAGGUGGGAACUGUNACAAGUGCACCAUCGACCGAUCCUGAAGUCUUCUGAUGGAUUUGAGUAGGAGCAUAGCUGUUGGGACCCGAAAGAUGGUGAACUAUGCCUGAAUAGGGUGAAGCCAGAGGAAACUCUGGUGGAGGCUCGCAGCGGUUCUGACGUGCAAAUCGAUCGUCAAAUUUGGGUAUAGGGGCGAAAGACUAAUCGAACCAUCUAG